CUACGGGAGGCUCCAGUGAGGAAUAUUGGUCAAUGGACGCAAGUCUGAACCAGCCAUGCCGCGUGAAGGAAUGACGGCCCUAUGGGUUGUAAACUUCUUUUAUAUACCAAGAAAGUUAGCUAUGUAUAGUUAUUUGACGGUAGUAUAUGAAUAAGGAUCGGCUAACUCCGUGCCAGCAGCCGCGGUAAUACGGAGGAUCCAAGCGUUAUCCGGAUUUAUUGGGUUUAAAGGGUGCGCAGGCGGAAUAAUAAGUCAGGGGUGAAAUCCUACAGCUCAACUGUAGAACUGCCUUUGAUACUGUUAUUCUUGAGUUAAGUUGGAGUAGGCGGAAUGUAGCAUGUAGCGGUGAAAUGCAUAGAUAUGCUACAGAACACCAAUCGCGAAGGCAGCUUACUAAGCUUAUACUGACGCUCAGGCACGAAAGCGUGGGUAGCGAACAGGAUUAGAUACCCCUGUAGUC
This 460-nucleotide ribosomal RNA is filed under the name uncultured bacterium. Its description in RNAcentral is "partial 16S ribosomal RNA". It matches the Rfam family "Bacterial small subunit ribosomal RNA", at positions 339 to 795 of the family's 1533-position model. The record is from RNAcentral.